Molecule: non-coding RNA, 1610 nt
Organism: Carica papaya (papaya)
Lineage: Eukaryota; Viridiplantae; Streptophyta; Magnoliopsida; Brassicales; Caricaceae
Source: RefSeq, a predicted model, not a curated record
CUGGUUCUGUACCAGUAGGAUAUUAUGCAUUGCAGAGAGAGAAUGUUUUUCCUGAGAGACCUGGCCAGCCUGAGUGCCAGUUUUACAUGAAGACUGGAGACUGUAAAUUUGGGGCUGUCUGUAGGUUCCAUCAUCCAAGGGAGAGGCUAAUUCCUGCUCCUGACUGUGUCUUAAGUCCAAUAGGCCUCCCUCUGCGGCAGGGAGAACCUUUAUGCAUUUUUUAUUCACGUUAUGGUAUCUGCAAGUUUGGGCCAAGUUGUAAGUUUGACCACCCUAUGGGAGUUUUCACAUAUAAUUUUUCUGCGUCAACUUCAAAUGAUACUCCAGUACGGCGUCUGCUGGGAUCAUCUUCUGGAACUGCAUUAAAUUUGUCAUCUGAAGGUCUUGUUGAAGCAGGUUCUACAAAACCCAGGCGGCUUUCACUUUCAGAGACAAGACAAAUGCCUUCUGGAGAUGAUAAUAUUGAUACAGAGUGAGAAGGCUUCUUUAAUGGGCGGGUUACAUCCUACAGACUCUGAAGACAAGGAAGAGUAAUCUGUAAAUUCACUUUCCGUGGCUGGAGAUGUAUAGUGUUAAAGCCAGUUGAUUCUGUUAUUCUGAAUGCAAUUCAGUUGGCAGUUGCUUCAACUGAUUUAAUUUUGCUGCAUCGUGUAAAAAUCUGAAAUUAUUUUCACAUUUGGUAAAGCCAAUGUGAACAUUUCAUCUGUCCUCAAAACUCCUCUUUCUGAUUCUGAAGAUAUUUCUUCUCUUCUUUUCUUUUUCCAGUUUAUUGAAUGAAGAAUUUCUUUUCCAACUUCAUGACCAUAGGAUUAUUGGGAAUUCCAAUUUACUUUCCCUGGUAUUAAUGUCUAACCCUGGCUCUUUUUUUCUCAUAAUGGUAGAAUCUCUCUGCUACCUUGUUUUGAUUAUAUGGACUUCGCUUCAUGGUCAUGAUCAUAAUUAUCAGUUUUAUUAUUGUCGUUAUCAUCAUCUUCUUUCUCUUUAUUCUUCUUGCACCGACAUUCCUAAGAUUUCUUUAAUGUUCAAUGAUACAUCAUGCUUCAAACUUUUCUUUUGAUAUCUGUUAUUGGUGAAAUUAGCAAAGGCACUUCUGAAUUUAAUCUUUGUUUCUUACUAAGCAUUCUGCUAAAUAGUUUUGUCAUGCAGAGAAACAUGGGCCAAAUAUUGGUAUGAGCAGGAAAAACUGGGCCUUCCAGAAUCAGUGAGAAGAUGAUGAUUUUAAUAGUAAAAAGUUUCACAGGAGGCUUCAAAUAAGAGAGAUUAUAGUGAUGGAUGCACUGCAACAACUCCUGAUUAUUUGUGCUAAGUACCUUGAAGAACUCAUAGCAGGUACUAUGACAACAUGAAAAAUUGGAUAUUAUCAGUAAAUGAAACAGGCUCUCCAAUAAUUGGAAAGUCGUUGUCAUUCUAGGUGAAGCUGGAAGCAGCUUUUCACUAUUUUUUUCUCUGAUUGAAUUUGUUUUCUUGUAGUUUCACUUAUAUGUAUGUACAAUGGAUUUCUACCCAAAAGCUGGUUAUGUAAUUCAUAGAUAACUUGCAUGGAUAAUUUAAGAUUCUUCUUCUGAUAGAUGGAGAACAAAUUUUUCAAUGAGCAUCUAAUCCAGUUUGAA